GGCUCGAUGGUCUAGGGGUAUGAUUCUCGCUUUGGGUGCGAGAGGUCCCGGUUUCAAAUCCCGGUCGAGCCC
Molecule: non-coding RNA, 72 nt
Organism: Nephila pilipes (giant wood spider)
Lineage: Eukaryota; Metazoa; Arthropoda; Arachnida; Araneae; Nephilidae
Source: the annotation of a GenBank genome assembly